UGAGAAUGGGUUGGGUAAUUGACAAUGUUGAACCUGUCAGACACAACUUUGUUUGAUCUCCUUGAACCUAGCUCUUGGGAUCUCCAGUCUGCUAGGUAGAGUUACCGCCAUGCUGACUUGUCCUAGGCCUUAAACCCAUUCCCUUGGAUGUCCUUUCUACUCCUUCUCUAGAUAGGUCUUUUGUAAGUGGAUUCGAACAUUAUCCUUUGACUUUACAUAGUCUACAGUGAUAAUUUCAUUAGAGAGAAGUUCUCUAACAGUAUACUGAUGCCAUUGGCUUGGGCUAAUACAAAAUAUCUUCCAAGAAAUUUUGGAGCCAUUCUACUUCUUCACCGACUUUAUCUAAUGCGAUAAAUUCUUAUUUCAUUGUAGAGCGAGCGAUACAAGUCGGUUUGGAUGAUUUCCAAGAAACUGCUCCUCCACUGAUAGUUAAAAUAUAUCCACUUGUGGAUUUUACUUCAUUUGAUCCGGUGAUCCAAUUUGCAUCACUAUAUCCUUCAAGUACCGCAGGAUAUUUAUUAUAAUGCAAAGCAUAGUUUUGAGUGUAUUUAAGAUACCCCAAAACUCUUUUCAUUGCCAUCCAGUGAAUUUUGUUGGGAUUACUCAUGUACCGACUCAAUUUACUAAUAGCGCAUGCUAUGUCUGGUCGUGUACAGUUCAUUAUAUACAUUAAACAUCCCAAUACUCUUGCGUACUCCAAUUACGAGUCACUUUCACCUUAUGCUAGGAGAUAAUGUAUGAUGACUUGCAACUCCUGUACUUGAGAGACAACAGAUUUGCUAUCCAUCAUUUUGAAGUUCAGGAAUCGUGCAACAAGGAAUUUCUUAAUUCCCUUAUCCUCUGUUUUAUAUUUUCGUUCAAUUGCCCCCACAGUUCCUUUGAUGUCUUGGCUCUACUAUAGACAUUAUAGAGGUUGUCUUGGAGACCACUUAGAAUAUAGUUCCUGCAAAAGAAAUCCGAAUGUUUCCAAGCUUCUAAAAUAACGAAGUGAUCUUUGUACAAGGUUCUCUCGGGCACCUCAGGAGAGUCUUUUCUAGUGAACCGUUGUAGACAUAAAGUGGUGAGGUAAAAGAACAUCUUUUGUUGCCACCGCUUGAAGUCAAUGCCAGAAAAUUUUCUGGGCUUCUUCGCCGGUGCCAUCGUUGGCGGAGCAUUUGCGUGACUUGAUGUGGCAAUAUUAUUUGCCCUCAUAGACGUUGUCGCAUCCAUCAUUUGACUUUCAGUUGUCAUUUUUACUGUCACCACAAGAUAGAAAUUUAGUAUUUUUCAGAAUACUAUUAAUAAAGUUAAAUAACUUUAAACUCUUCUUCUUGUUUCUAGUUAACGAUGAAAUUUUUAUUACUUCGAAUCGUCAACUGAGUGAACCUUAACUUGUGAUGAAUAUUUUAUGUCUUCUAAUCACUAGUUAAAUUCAAGCGGAGUAGAAAGCCUAAGCUUUAAUCUCCAAAAAUAAGCAAUCCAGAUUCUGCACGAAUUAUUCCUUAAGAUUGUUAUAUCCACAAUAUAUUCGGGUAUGCAGAAUAUGUAUAUUGUAAAAACAACUUCAACUCAAGUUCAAGUAUGAACAAGAACACAAUGAAGUAUCAAAUACCCCCAACACAAGAUCAAAAUGACCUUUCCAAGAGGUAUAUUUAUUUUUUUAGAAAAUAAAGAUGAAACAGAAAUAGCUAAGGCCAAGUCGUCCGAAUUCACGAACUUUCCUUAAGGAAUAACUCCCCUCACUGUACCUGAGGUUAUGGAAUCUUCCUUUUAGGAUAAAAUGGCCUUCAAUCUGACUAUAACGGUACCACAAAUAGGUGGAUUCUUCGAACACACUCACGGUUUGAAUGAUCACACUUAGAGUAUUUUUAAGACAAGAAGAAUGUUUUUUAAUCUAAAAAUUUCUGUCUUUUCUAUCUCUAUUUUGUGGAUGAAAACCAGGUUAUUUAUAGCCAAAUGAUGCCUCUUUAGAGUGGAGGCAAUGAUUCAAUCCAAAGGUUGCACCUUUGCUGUAAAUUCAUGUCUGUUCAUCAAAGAUUCCAUCCUUUCAUGAACAGUCAUAUCUUUCCAUGAAUUAGUGUGUCUUUUGCUGAAUGGUUGCAUCUAUUUAUUUAACCAGUGCAUCAUUUCAAUUAAAUAACAGAAACUAGUGCACCAGUUUUGAAGCAAUGCAACAUUUUUGAAGCAGUGUAACUGUUCUGCAUCACUGUUCAUGCGUCACUGUUCACAUAAAACAGUAGCAUCACAUCUCUGUUACUACAUGUAAAUUGAGGAUUAAAACUCGGAAUACUUCCUGCGCUUUUCAUCAUUGUUCAGAUUUUGUCAAAUAAAAUUUGUCCAAAAAAAAAGAUCUCAUCGAUCGAUCAUUUGACAAAUCUAAAUCCAAAUCGAAAAAUUAAAUCCGAAGCCGAGCCGAGCGAGCGACGAUGAUGGCGCGAGGUAUCUUUAUUUCCUUACCUCACUUACCAUGUGGAGCAAGUGUUUCUCAUUAUAAACACUCUGAAGUUCUAUUCUUCCACCAAUGUGGGAGAAAGAGUAAACUUGCCAAAAUUGAGUACAUUUUCCAUUUUUGGUGUUAACUCAAUUUUUCUCUUCCACUAGAUUUCUCUAUUUUCCAUUCAACACACUUUCAUUACUGUGAACCCAACAAUCCCCCACAUGAAUGGGGAAUAGCUAUUUUUUGUAAAACUUUUACGGACAAGUAUGUGAUCAUUAACCAAAGACUGAUUGCAUCUGAAUAAGUGGGUUUCCCUUUGAACUUUCCGUAGUGAACAUGCAUCGGAUGCACUCGGUCAAUUGGUAGAUUUGAUAUCUUUGAACCGUCUAUCUUUAAUGUAAACCUAGAUAACACAUGUCACAUAACCAGCCUUUUACCAUUUUAUGUUUCUUACGAUUUUGUUCUUUUCAGCCAUGAACACGUUCCGAUUUUUAUAAGAGCUUAGAGAAUAGGCGUUUACUAACAUUCUCUUUAAAGCGGCUUCCACUUCGCCCACACAUAGGUGAUUUCUAAAUGUUCAAUCCUAUAGAUUAAACUAUUUGGUCAAAUCUGCCAAAUUUAGAUAAUCAUUAAAAGACUUUUCGCCUUAAGUCUUAUCCUUGUUUACUAACUAUUGUCUACAUCAUGAGAAUGGGUUGGGUAAUUGACAAUGUUGAACCCGUCAAACACAACUUUGUUUGAUCUCCUUGAACCUAGCUCUUGGGAUCUCUAGUCUGCUAGGUAGAGUUACCGCCAUGCUGACUUGUCCUAGGCCUUAAACCCAUUCCCUUGGAUGUCCUUUUGUACCCCUUCUCUAGAUAGGCCUUUUGUAAGUGGAUCCGACACAUUAUCAUUUGACUUUACAUAGUCUA
This 3327-nucleotide long non-coding RNA is filed under the name Capsicum annuum. RNAcentral describes it as "long non-coding RNA (CANN_LNC015998)". Lineage: Eukaryota; Viridiplantae; Streptophyta; Magnoliopsida; Solanales; Solanaceae. The record is from RNAcentral.